AUACCCUUUAAGAGCUUUCCUGAGAGUGAGCCAAGGGUAGAGAAUACAGGGUACUUGUAUCCUUAUAUCCUCUUACCUUUGGUAAGGGGAUUUUUUGU
Molecule: regulatory RNA element, 98 nt
Organism: Desulfitobacterium dichloroeliminans LMG P-21439
Lineage: Bacteria; Bacillati; Bacillota; Clostridia; Eubacteriales; Desulfitobacteriaceae
Rfam family: PyrR binding site
About the family: This family represents the PyrR binding site and terminator structure. This RNA structure is found upstream of a variety of genes involved in pyrimidine biosynthesis and transport.
Source: Rfam